Long non-coding RNA from Armigeres subalbatus, 1075 nucleotides. RefSeq lists it as uncharacterized. The record is from RefSeq and is a predicted model, not a curated record. The transcript is spliced from 2 exons. NCBI's taxonomy places the organism in Eukaryota, Metazoa, Arthropoda, Insecta, Diptera, Culicidae.
UCUUUGAUUUAACCUUUUUGCGCUUCUUCACCUUGAAACUAAAUUUCGGAGGUGUAACUUUAGCGUUUGACAGCCUCACUAGUAAUAAUUGCAUUGCAACUGUGAGUGAUAGGUUGCAGCUGAUUGUUACGUCUGUUUGACUCUGAGCCAACUUUGUUGCAUUUCACAAUUCCAGUUUCGUUCUCACACAUGUCAGUAUAUUUUCAAUUCCUUUUGCUUAUAGAUAGUGGAAUAUAUAGAUGAGCGAAGAUAAAUCCUCUGUCUCCAAACGAGCUGUCAAACGUGUCUCCAAACGAGCAUGACGUCACGAUUUCAAUGGAAACGUUAAGGGCUGUGACGUCAUAUGCGCGUGUGCACGGGCAAAAAAAUCGACUCAGCCAUGCUUUCGCUCAUCUAUAGAUUCUACUAUCUAUACUUUUGCUGUAUUUAAAUGGUUCACUUCUCACAACUGUGUGAGAAUUCUAUAGAAUAAUCGAUGACUCACUCAAAAUCCAACAGUCACCUCUAUGUGCGCUGCUGCAAUAUAGCUUCUUUUAUUGUUCAACUUCAACCCGCCCAAUUAGAAUAUUGCUAGCUUAGUGUUCGAUUUAGUUCGCACUUUCAAAAACAUAAACCGCAACGUUUGUAAGCCAAAUUCAUAUUUUUUUUACAAUGCAUUUACAGCGGUAAGUUCGAACCCAGCCGCCUUUAGCGUGAUUCUGUUCUGUUAUCAUUCUUAGUGGCUGAGCCAAAAACAAAACUAAAACGGCCGUUUCCUAUAUAAGGGAAGCACCACACAGAAAAUUGCAUCAUUCACAUUAGCGUUGUGGAAUUAAUUAGAAGCAGUGUUAUUAUUCGAAGUUAUUCUCAGUGAACAUUUUGCAUCGAUAAAUAUGCCAAACAAAUCGGAUCAACAUGGGGCCGCUAUUCGCCAAGGCGUCCAGGCGAACCCCAACGCCAAGGGAGAGGCAAGAGCAGAAGUAGUUCGAACGGCCGUACAACAGGCGAACGCUCAAGGUCAAGGUAAAAAGUGAAUCAUUGAUCACAUUGUACCAAUUACUUGAAUAAAUGUGUUACCUUGAGUAAAAUAUAAUAA